CCCUCGGUGUUUGCCCUUUUGAAAAAGUCAUGCUUUCCGUCUCUUCUCCAAGCCCGACGCUCCGCUUGCUGUCAGGACCUGAGCGAGGAGCCAGUGGGAAGCUCCCUGCUGCACCAGCUGUGCAGCUGCACGGAGGCCUUCUUCCUGGGCCUGCGCGUCAAGUGCCUGCCCUCGGUGGCGGCCGCGUCCAUCUGCUGCUCCUCGCGGCCCAGCCGGGACUCUGACAGGCUCCAGCUCCACACAGACGGCAUCCUGUCCUUCUUGAAGAACAACAAGCCGGGGGACGCGCUGUGUGUGCUGGGCCUCACGCUGUCCGACCUGUACCCCCACGAGGCCUGGAGCUUCACCUUCAGCAAGUUCCUUCCAGGGCACGGUCACGUGCCACGAGCUCUGCCGCCUUCUGGGGCUGGGGAACUGCCGCUGGCUCCGCUGCCUCAUGCAGGGUGCGCUCAGCCUGGACGAGGCCCUGCGGCGGCCCUUGGACCUCUGUCCCAUCUGCCUACGGAAGCUGCAGCACGUCCUGGGCUUCAGGCUCAUCGAGAGGUACCAGGUGAGCUGGGUGAACACAGUAGCUUCAGCCACAGCUGGGACCUGAGGCAGCAUCUGAAGUCCCUCUCAUUCUCCCAGCGUGAGCUGGCAGACCCUGAAGGGAACGCAGAGACUGACCACAGCUGGACUUGCGCCGCCUCAUCCUCUUAGUGAAUGAGGUCCUCAGAGGCUUAAGCACGCAUUACUUAUCCAAAAUGCUUCUGUUCAGGCGAAUGCACGAAGCGUUGAGGUAGGUCAACUGCAUUUUGUACGGUGGAAAAUAACCAGUUUGCUUUUUGUAUUAUGACGAAAAUGAAAACCUUUCCUUAAAGAAAAGGAAGCAUAAUCUCAGAAAUCUGGAUCCAGGGAAUCCCAAAUAACCCCCCCCAAAUUUUAAUCCUUGACAUUCAUAAUCACUUGGAUUAAAAUCUAA
This 961-nucleotide small RNA is filed under the name Pongo abelii (Sumatran orangutan). RNAcentral describes it as "processed transcript". The record is from RNAcentral. Lineage: Eukaryota; Metazoa; Chordata; Mammalia; Primates; Hominidae.